UCUGUUUUCUUGGACAGGUACCUAUUUCAACGGCGAGGAUCUCCGACAACUGUCGUCCAAGCUCUCAUUCAGACUCACGGCAGGACGCAAUAGAGCCGUGCACUUUGCUAAGAUUCAGGAGAACUCGGGCGCAGCAAAGCACACUUCCAGGUUUUUCCACCGGUAGUUGGUACCUCCCGCUCUCUUGCUUAUUUUGUGCACAUUCUUUACGUAUUUUUACUAGCAUUCCGAGUGUGGUCUAUUCUGUUGUUAUCUAAUAUAGAAACCCAAUUAAUGGUACGUUUAAUUCUCGAGUAGGGGGUGAGGAUGAUGAUGAAAUGCUUACUACCCAAGAUUGGACUAAUGUUAAAAUUCUU
RNAcentral lists this long non-coding RNA (356 nucleotides) under Nicotiana benthamiana. RNAcentral's name for it is "long non-coding RNA (NBEN_LNC028248)". The record is from RNAcentral. Lineage: Eukaryota; Viridiplantae; Streptophyta; Magnoliopsida; Solanales; Solanaceae.